AUUGAACGCUGGCGGCAGGCCUAACACAUGCAAGUCGAGCGGAUGAAGGGAGCUUGCUCCUGGAUUCAGCGGCGGACGGGUGAGUAAUGCCUAGGAAUCUGCCUGGUAGUGGGGGAUAACGUCCGGAAACGGGCGCUAAUACCGCAUACGUCCUGAGGGAGAAAGUGGGGGAUCUUCGGACCUCACGCUAUCAGAUGAGCCUAGGUCGGAUUAGCUAGUUGGUGGGGUAAAGGCCUACCAAGGCGACGAUCCGUAACUGGUCUGUGAGGAUGAUCAGUCACACUGGAACUGGGACACGGUCCAGACUCCUACGGGAGGCAGCAGUGGGGAAUAUUGGACAAUGGUCGAAAGCCUGAUCCAGCCAUGCCGCGUGUGUUAAGAAGGUCUUCGGAUUGUAAAGCACUUUAAGUUGGGAGGAAGGGCAUUAAGUUAAUACCUUGCUGUUUUGACGUUACCAACAGAAUAAGCACCGGCUAACUUCGUG
Molecule: ribosomal RNA, 484 nt
Filed under: uncultured bacterium
Lineage: Bacteria
Description: partial 16S ribosomal RNA
Rfam family: Bacterial small subunit ribosomal RNA
Source: RNAcentral